This 1687-nucleotide long non-coding RNA is filed under the name Prunus persica (peach). RNAcentral describes it as "long non-coding RNA (PPER_LNC000695)". The record is from RNAcentral. Lineage: Eukaryota; Viridiplantae; Streptophyta; Magnoliopsida; Rosales; Rosaceae.
CUCUCACUCUCUCGUCGCUCAGCUCUCAAUCUCUCGUCGCUCAGCUCUGACUCUCUCUUCUCUCUUCUCUCUUCCUCUCCCAGCGAAAUCUGUUCAUCGAAGCUCAACUCUAUCGUUCACCUUGAACAGGUACUAUUCAUCGUCAUUUUCUUACAGUUUAAGGGUUUCUCUGAAGUUGGUUUAGGGUUUAUGCAUUUCUAUGAAAUUGGUUGAGGGGUUUGUUCGAAAUUGGUUGAAGGUUUAGGAGUUUCUCUGAAAUUGGUUUAAGGGUUUCACUGAAAUUUGUUUUGGGGUUUCUCUGAAAUGAUCUUAGUAUGAUGAUUCCUUGUUUGAAACAGUGAAUGGGUUUGUCCUUUGUGGAUUGAUGCUUGCACUGCUGUUGUUUUGCUGUUGCUAUUGAUGUCGUAUUGUUAUUUUUUUGCUAGUGUAUUGCUAAUGUAAUGAUGUUGUGUUGGCAUUUUAGUGUUGUUGUAUUUUUAGUUUAGUAUGGUUUUAUUAUGGUUUUUGUAGCAGUUAUUGAUUGGUAUUUGGUGGCUUACUAUGGGUCUUUAUGACCAUUGCAUUUAACCUUCUUACAAGUCUAAUCGGUAUCUAUUUUCUUUGUUGAAGAUGAUAUCUAAAGUCUAAGACAAUUAACCUGUGUAUAUCAUUUUGAACUUGUAAACUCCCAACCAUAUCAUACUUUUUGUUUGAGAAUAAUGCUUGUUAAUUUGACAUAUUUUUUUAUAACUAUGUUUACUAACUUUAGGGCUUGCAUAUUGGAUAUGGAUAAGUUUUCUUUAGAACUAUAUGUGGUGUAAUAUGAGUUCUUUAAAAGUUUGCUCUUUUAUGCUUGAUCAUUGUCUGCUUAAGCGGAAAAUGAGUGAAGAUGGGAACCUACCACCAGCAGGUGUGGUUUAGAGAAAUGGAGACAUUGAUUUUGCUAUAAGCUAACUCUUUAAGCUUAUGCUUUUCUUGUUUGUGUAUGGAUACUUAGAGAACUUUGUUUCUGAGGAAAACUUAUAAUUUUGUAAUUGUACAUAUCUUACAAACAUUUUAUACAGUUUUGAUGGUUUAUUUAUUAAUUUAUCUUUGAUAUCGAUAAAGCAGAGAAUACAUACAGACCUCUUAUUUUGUUAAGAAAAAACUGAAGGGAUGGUGCCAAUUUCAUUCAUUUUCUUACAUUUGAAAGGAGGGCCAUAGUGGAGUCAUUAUUGUGGUUGCCACUAAUUCAUAGGAUGUUCCAUUACAUUAUACCUUGAAGUCAAUCAAUUCUUUCCCGAUGUCUUCUUGUUUUUUAAACUCUUUCUAGUCAGAUAGAUUUCUAUCGUUAGUCUUGAAUUGUUCUCAAUUAGGCUUGUGCUACCGCACAUUCCCAUUCUAGCUGAAGCUGUCUCAUGAUUAUCUGGUGUGUUGAGAUGUGUCUUUAGAUAUUAUAUUAUGCAGGAGUGGUAGAGUACUGGGUGUCUUGAGACGUGGCUUUGAGCUAUUGAAUUAGUAGGUCAGCUGUAAAUAGCUGGGGUUUUGUGUAUGCUCUGUAUUUUUUGUUUAUUUGUCACUUAAUAUCCUAUAAUAAGCUGUUGAUAAGCGCUGACUGUUUAUUGCUUGUUAUUGUCUAGAUUGCAACGGACUGAAUUUCUUCUUCAACAUAUCUGGGACAUUGAAGGGUUUAGCAAAUAAGUUUGGGUUGGCGGUGGUUGUUACCAAC